GUUGGGCAUGGUGGCACAUGCCUGUAAUCCCAGCAGCUCAGAAAGCUGAGGCAGGAGGAUUGAGAGUUCAAAGCCAACCUCAGCAAUUUAGGGAGCCCUUAAGAAAUUCAGCAAGACCCUGUCUCUA
This 127-nucleotide small RNA is filed under the name Marmota monax (woodchuck). Lineage: Eukaryota; Metazoa; Chordata; Mammalia; Rodentia; Sciuridae. The record is from RNAcentral.